ACCCUCCAAGGCUAAAUACUACCUAGUGACCGAUAGCGUAUAGUACCGUGAGGGAAAGGUGAAAAGAACCCCGGGAGGGGAGUGAAAUAGAACCUGAAACCCUGCACUUACAAGCUGUGGAAGCACAGUUCUUGUGUGACCGCGUACUUUUUGUAGAACGGGCCAACGAGUUACGUUAAGUAGCAAGGUUAAGCACUUAAGGUGCGGAGCCGUAGCGAAAGCGAGUUUUAACUGAGCGGUCAGUUACUUGACGUAGACCCGAAACCGGGCGACCUACCCAUGAGCAGGAUGAAGCGAAAGUAAAAUUUCGUGGAGGUCCGAACCCACGAGCGUUGAAAAGCUCGGGGAUGACUUGUGGGUAGCGGUGAAAUUCCAAUCGAGCCCGGAGAUAGCUGGUUCUCCCCGAAAUAGCUUUAGGGCUAGCCUCAAGGUGAGAGAUACGGA
This 444-nucleotide ribosomal RNA is filed under the name Clostridioides difficile. Its description in RNAcentral is "bacterial LSU rRNA". It matches the Rfam family "Bacterial large subunit ribosomal RNA", at positions 455 to 900 of the family's 2925-position model. The record is from RNAcentral. Lineage: Bacteria; Bacillati; Bacillota; Clostridia; Peptostreptococcales; Peptostreptococcaceae.